UCCGAGUUGACCCCGGCAGUCUCCUAUGAGUCCCCACCAUUACGUGCUGGCAACAUAGGACGAGGGUUGCGCUCGUUGCGGGACUUAACCCAACAUCUCACGACACGAGCUGACGACAACCAUGCACCACCUGUCUCUGGGCUCCUUGCGGCACCCCCAAAUCUCUUCGGGGUUCCCAGGAUGUCAAGACCAGGUAAGGUUCUUCACGUUGCAUCGAAUUAAACCACAUCAUCCACCGCUUGUGCGGGUCCCCGUCAAUUCCUUUGAGUUUCAGCCUUGCGGCCGUACUCCCCAGGCGGGGCACUUAAUGCGUUAGCGCCGGCACCCAGGGGGUCGCUCCCCCAGGCACCUAGUGCCCAUCGUUUACGGCGUGGACUAC
RNAcentral lists this unclassified non-coding RNA (379 nucleotides) under uncultured bacterium. RNAcentral's name for it is "contains 16S-23S intergenic spacer region". The record is from RNAcentral.